RNAcentral lists this small RNA (455 nucleotides) under Pan troglodytes (chimpanzee). Its description in RNAcentral is "processed transcript". The record is from RNAcentral. Lineage: Eukaryota; Metazoa; Chordata; Mammalia; Primates; Hominidae.
GGGGAAUCAUAUUCUCUUUACCCCUCCCUAGACAUGAAGAGAUUCUCCGCUUCUCCCAGACCCUCUGCUUCUCACAAUCCCUGGCUGUGGGGAACUUCUCUUAAGGCACAGAUUGGAUCCCUCUUGCUGCAGUCUCUGACUUGGUUUCUCCUAUCCUGUCCUCUGUGGCUAGAGAAAGCCCUCUUCUGGGUGAUCACAGCGGUUCCUUAGGAUCUCCCCUUCAACAUUCCUUCAUCGUUAGUUGGUUCUUCCCAGAAGAAUUCUGGGGAGACAUUGCCAAGGAAUUUUACUGGAAGACUCCAUGCCCUGGCCCAUUCCUUCGGUACAACUUUGAUGUGACUAAAGGGAAAAUCUUCAUUGAGUGGAUGAAAGGAGCAACUACCAACAUCUGCUACAAUGUACUGGAUCGAAAUGUCCAUGAGAAAAAGCUUGGAGAUAAAUUUGCUUUUUACUGG